GGGGGUGCCGUGCUUUUGACAGAAGUUUCUGCAUACACUCGCAUGCUGAGGAUGAUUUAGCCCUCAUAAAUCCCUAAAUCAACUUAUAAGUGCAAACUUAUUUUCAAAAGCUAAAGUUGCUUUAACUAACGCCUUCGGCGGAAGUUGCUGCAAUUUUGCUCCGUUAGCAGCUUAAUAGUUGCUUUCCAUCGCCUGUGUGAGAUUUCGUAGCACAACACGGUGUAACUCACGAGAUGUAGGUUAAAAGUGCUGUCAGACAUUUUUAUCCGAAAGAAAUUCUGGCUCGCUCAUAGAGACUUUCGUUCACUUAUCAUCUCUAUAGUUAAAUCAUAAGUGGACUAAGCAUGUAGAAGGUAUAUUCAAAAUUAUCUGGACGCGAGUUCAACUCUCGCCACCUCCACAG
This 403-nucleotide transfer-messenger RNA is filed under the name Patescibacteria group. RNAcentral's name for it is "CAIOJG01 sp903853785 X1 Standard tmRNA". It matches the Rfam family "transfer-messenger RNA". From Rfam's summary of the family: Bacterial tmRNA, also known as 10Sa RNA or SsrA, is named for its dual tRNA and mRNA-like properties. Its role is to liberate the mRNA from a stalled ribosome. The record is from RNAcentral. RNAcentral also lists the same sequence under 1 other name.